GUGCCGCUAGCUCAGCGGGUAGAGCUGCUGACUCUUAAUCAGUAUGUGCGGGGUUCGAGUCCCCGGCGGCGCACCA
RNAcentral lists this transfer RNA (76 nucleotides) under Virgisporangium aliadipatigenens. RNAcentral describes it as "tRNA-Lys". It matches the Rfam family "tRNA". Rfam says of the family: Transfer RNA (tRNA) molecules are approximately 80 nucleotides in length. Their secondary structure includes four short double-helical elements and three loops (D, anti-codon, and T loops). Further hydrogen bonds mediate the characteristic L-shaped molecular structure. tRNAs have two regions of fundamental functional importance: the anti-codon, which is responsible for specific mRNA codon recognition, and the 3' end, to which the tRNAs corresponding amino acid is attached (by aminoacyl-tRNA synthetases). tRNAs cope with the degeneracy of the genetic code in two manners: having more than one tRNA (with a specific anti-codon) for a particular amino acid; and 'wobble' base-pairing, i.e. permitting non-standard base-pairing at the 3rd anti-codon position. Lineage: Bacteria; Bacillati; Actinomycetota; Actinomycetes; Micromonosporales; Micromonosporaceae. The record is from RNAcentral.